Molecule: ribosomal RNA, 253 nt
Filed under: uncultured bacterium
Lineage: Bacteria
Description: partial 16S ribosomal RNA
Rfam family: Bacterial small subunit ribosomal RNA
Source: RNAcentral
UACGUAGGGUGCGAGCGUUGUCCGGAAUUAUUGGGCGUAAAGAGCUCGUAGGCGGUUUGUCGCGUCGGCCGUGAAAACUUGGGGCUUAACUCCAAGCUUGCGGUCGAUACGGGCAGACUUGAGUUCGGCAGGGGAGACUGGAAUUCCUGGUGUAGCGGUGAAGUGCGCAGAUAUCAGGAGGAACACCGGUGGCGAAGGCGGGUCUCUGGGCCGACACUGACGCUGAGGAGCGAAAGCGUGGGGAGCGAACAGG